GAUGAACGCUGGCGGUGUGCCUAAUACAUGCAAGUCGAGCGAACAGACGAGGAGCUUGCUCCUCUGACGUUAGCGGCGGACGGGUGAGUAACACGUGGAUAACCUACCUAUAAGACUGGGAUAACUUCGGGAAACCGGAGCUAAUACCGGAUAAUAUAUUGAACCGCAUGGUUCAAUAGUGAAAGACGGUUUUGCUGUCACUUAUAGAUGGAUCCGCGCCGCAUUAGCUAGUUGGUAAGGUAACGGCUUACCAAGGCAACGAUGCGUAGCCGACCUGAGAGGGGGGGCGGGCACCAGGGGAACUGAGACCGGGCCCAGCGUCAGGGGGGGGGAAGAGGGGGGGAAUCUUCGGGAGGGGCGAAAGGCCGGACGACGCACCCCGGGGGGAGGAAAGAGGGUCUUGGGUCCAAAAAACUUUUUUAUGGGGAAAAAAAAAAUGUGAAAGUACAAUUCCCGGUAUGGAGGGAACCUAAUAAGAAACCCACGGCAAACGCCGCC
Molecule: ribosomal RNA, 498 nt
Filed under: uncultured bacterium
Lineage: Bacteria
Description: partial 16S ribosomal RNA
Rfam family: Bacterial small subunit ribosomal RNA
Source: RNAcentral